This 58-nucleotide microRNA precursor is filed under the name Nomascus leucogenys (northern white-cheeked gibbon). RNAcentral's name for it is "microRNA nle-mir-378d precursor (nle-mir-378d-2)". Its record names the gene nle-mir-378d-2. Lineage: Eukaryota; Metazoa; Chordata; Mammalia; Primates; Hylobatidae. The record is from miRBase by way of RNAcentral.
ACUGGACUUGGAGUCAGAAGACCUUCAUCCAAGUCGUUCCCUGCUCUAAGUCCCAUUU